UCCAACAAAGGAACCUAGGCCUUCUGAAAAUCCUAUUUUGAAAAUUGUUUGAUUUGGAUUCAUGUCAAAAUAUUUCAAAGAUCCAUUUUGUAUAAUUGAAAUAGUAAUUGUGAAAUUCAACUUGAUAUAGCCUAGAUUUUAGUCCUACUCAUAAUAUUCUGUAUGUAUAAAUGAUUAUUUUUUCAAUGAGGUUUAUAGGCAUAUUAGUCAAAUAUUGGAUAUGUAGCAUUAAACAAUAUAAAAUUUGUUUAUAGUAGGGGUGCACUGGAUAGUACUUUUUUAUAUCCGGCCGGAGCCGAAUACCUAAGUGUCUUGUAAAUAGCUUGUAUUGCUGAGCAUUUUACGAAACUGUUAAUAACAUACCUAUAUUUGUUUGUUUUUUUCUCCUUUUAUAUACCUUAUUGUUUUAAACUCUGUUACUGAUUGAUUUAUAAAAGAUUAACAGUAUAAACAAAAAUUAAUCUGUGUAGCAUGAGCGUGUCUGUAUGUAUGUACAAGGCCACCAACUAUAAAGGCUGUGUGUUGGAGGGUCAAUGUAAAAUAUGUUAGUAAAUAUUUAACUAGUUACUAAUGUAAAUCUCUCAUCUGGCUUGUAUGGUGGUUGGAUGUAUGUGUUCAAGAAUUUCUGACCAACAACUGGUCAUCAGACUUGUAAUUUUAAGUCCAAAGACUGCUUCUGGAUUCAAGGGCAUAAUACUGAUAGCUGUUAGUUAAUAGUUGGAAUCUGAAGCGUUGUAGGUCAUAUAUUUAUUAAUCCAUUUGCGGCAAACGAUAUUUUAUUAACAGCAGGAACAUCUAUUAUACCUACUCAUAGCCAGAGCCUUAAAUGUUGCGAAACAUAGAUUUAAUUGUAGUCUGUAGGCCUUUUAUUGAUAUCUAUGUUUAGAUCUACUGUUAUAUAGAUCUAAGAGAAUUAGGAAAACCAAAAAAACAAAAACAUAUUUGUUUUAUUUUAUUGUGCAACGAACGUUUGUUCAGCGCCCUAAAUGACAUUUCUCUCCAAGUAAACAAACUUAGUCUCAUCAUCUAGUUACCUCUAGACAGUGUCAAUAUUUCUCAACAAUCUGCGUUAAUCCAUUCUGGCUUAAGAAUGGUCAAUGUCUAUUAAUACAUUGUCAUGGAUUAAACAAAUAAGAAGUUGAGCGUGUUGAGUCUCUUGAGCCCUCCCUUUAAAGAUACCCCUGGUCAGUGUCUGUUUGGCUUGUAGUCCAGCCUCCUAAUUGAGACUUAAAGUAAACAAACUUAUUGUCCCGGCCAAAAGUAUAAAAGGUGUGGCAUGUGGUCCAGACCCUUGAUUGACAACCUAUCUCAUAAUAAACAAACUCAUACCAGAUUAACCUUAUAAAGAUUUGGCUUGUAGUCCCGCCCCUAAUAAAAAUUCUUCUCCAAGUAAACAAACUCAGUUCCCUCAUAAGAUGUGACCUCUGGAAAGUGUCAACACGUUGACAUCUGGCUUGAUGUGGUAAGCUGCCUAUCUGUGAACUCAAUGUUAUGGACUAUACAAACAAAAAGAGGUGGGGGUUGCUCAUCUCUACCUCUGGAGAUAUACCCGCACAUCUAGACAGAUUAUCAGCGUGGCGUAGUUAAGGAAUAUUACAUGUUUACUAGACCACUCAAAAGUCAAGACAAGCUUUUAAAAUGUGCAUGACAUCGUUGCUAUGUCUUAUAUUUUUGUGGAAAUAAAUUUUACUAGUGGAGUUUUUGUAGCUGCCAGAGUGGAUCAAGGUGGAUGUGAUAUCUAUUUAUAAACAUGUAUACCAGUAUAUUGUAAUCAGUGAUUUUCAUUUUUUGGUAACAGUUUGUUUCCAUUUAGAUUGCAGUCUUUCUUAUGUGAAAACAAGAUGUCUGCAUAAUCUUAGAGGACAUUUUUAAACUCAUUUAAAUUUAUUAGAUGAAAUAUUUAUAAAACAUACAAUGUAAAUUGUUUUGUAAAAUGAUUAUACAUUUGAGUUCAUAAAAAUGUGUAAUUUUUUAAUGGCAUCAUGUUUCUGCUUAUCUGUAUCUGAUACUGAUGAUGUGUUUUCUAAAUCUAUUACUGCUUCACCAUUGAGGAAAAACUGCACAUGUUUAAACCCAUAUCUGAAGUAACUUUCCAGAAAAAAAAAGAUGUAUGUUGGACUGUGUCCAAAAUUUCAAAUCAUUUCCUUCAAAAUGUUAUCAAUUUCCUCCAUAACUUCAUAACAUUAUUGAAUUUUUUCCUUCAGAACACAAUUGUAAAUUAUCUUUUUUUUUUUUGUUAAACCACAAUGAGAGUCUAAUAACUAAUAGUCUAGCAAACAAUUACUUAUAAUUUGCCUUAUUAUUAUACAAUAUUAAGAUUUACUUCUGCAGGGAUGAAAAACUUUUUUUUAAAUACAAUAGACAUGUAUAAUAAUAAAGUACAUUCACACCUGACUCACUCAUAAUUUACAUGUGAAAAGUUUAUAUCAGAUUGUUUCUAUUUAAUGAUUUGAUUGCCAUCAGUGUCUUGUAUCUCUUUUGUGAUGGUAAAGUCACAAAAUGUAGGAAACCCCACUGUGUUUGGUCCAGUAUGUGGGUUAUUAUAUGUAAGUCUAUUGUAUUUUCUAUAUUAUUUUACAAAUGUAAAAAAAAUAAAAAGAAAUUGUUACACUGUU
Long non-coding RNA from Biomphalaria glabrata, 2615 nucleotides. RefSeq lists it as uncharacterized. The record is from RefSeq and is a predicted model, not a curated record. NCBI's taxonomy places the organism in Eukaryota, Metazoa, Mollusca, Gastropoda, Planorbidae. The transcript is spliced from 2 exons.